CCUCAAUGUCGCCUGGCCGUUGUCUGAACUUGAUUACCAUUAUAGAAAAGUUAACGCAUCUAACUAGACGCCUUAAUUUUUCUAGUAAUGGUCAUCAAGCUCCUACAACGGCCAGGCGACAUUGCGG
This 127-nucleotide microRNA precursor is filed under the name Picea abies (Norway spruce). RNAcentral's name for it is "miR3695b stem-loop (pab-MIR3695b)". Lineage: Eukaryota; Viridiplantae; Streptophyta; Pinopsida; Pinales; Pinaceae. The record is from miRBase by way of RNAcentral.